Molecule: ribosomal RNA, 1396 nt
Filed under: uncultured bacterium
Lineage: Bacteria
Description: bacterial SSU rRNA
Rfam family: Bacterial small subunit ribosomal RNA
Source: RNAcentral
GAAUUCGCCCUUAGAGUUUGAUCCUGGCUCAGGACGAACGCUGGCGGCGUGCUUAACACAUGCAAGUCGAACGAGAAUCUGCUGAAGGAGGAUUCGUCCAACGGAAGCAGAGGAAAGUGGCGGACGGGUGAGUAACGCGUGAGGAACCUGCCUUGAAGAGGGGGACAACAGUUGGAAACGACUGCUAAUACCGCAUGACGCAUAGAGGUCGCAUGAUCUUUAUGCCAAAGAUUUAUCGCUUCAAGAUGGCCUCGCGUCUGAUUAGCUGGUUGGCGGGGUAACGGCCCACCAAGGCGACGAUCAGUAGCCGGACUGAGAGGUUGAACGGCCACAUUGGGACUGAGAUACGGCCCAGACUCCUACGGGAGGCAGCAGUGGGGAAUAUUGGGCAAUGGGCGCAAGCCUGACCCAGCAACGCCGCGUGAAGGAAGAAGGCUUUCGGGUUGUAAACUUCUUUUAAGAGGGAAGAGGAGAAGACGGUACCUCUAGAAUAAGCCACGGCUAACUACGUGCCAGCAGCCGCGGUAAUACGUAGGUGGCAAGCGUUGUCCGGAUUUACUGGGUGUAAAGGGCGUGCAGCCGGGUCUGCAAGUCAGAUGUGAAAUCCAUGGGCUCAACCCAUGAACUGCAUUUGAAACUGUGGAUCUUGAGUGUCGGAGGGGCAAUCGGAAUUCCUAGUGUAGCGGUGAAAUGCGUAGAUAUUAGGAGGAACACCAGUGGCGAAGGCGGAUUGCUGGACGAUAACUGACGGUGAGGCGCGAAAGUGUGGGGAGCAAACAGGAUUAGAUACCCUGGUAGUCCACACUGUAAACGAUGAUCACUAGGUGUUGGAGGAUUGACCCCUUCAGUGCCGCAGUUAACACAAUAAGUGAUCCACCUGGGGAGUACGACCGCAAGGUUGAAACUCAAAGGAAUUGACGGGGGCCCGCACAAGCAGUGGAGUAUGUGGUUUAAUUCGACGCAACGCGAAGAACCUUACCAAGUCUUGACAUCCUGCGACGAUGCUGGAAACAGUAUUUUCCUUCGGGACGCAGAGACAGGUGGUGCAUGGUUGUCGUCAGCUCGUGUCGUGAGAUGUUGGGUUAAGUCCCGCAACGAGCGCAACCCUUAUCGUCAGUUACUACGCAAGAGGACUCUGGCGAGACUGCCGUUGACAAAACGGAGGAAGGUGGGGAUGACGUCAAAUCAUCAUGCCCUUUAUGACUUGGGCUACACACGUACUACAAUGGCGUUAAACAAAGAGAAGCGAGACCGCGAGGUGGAGCAAAACUCAAAAACAACGUCCCAGUUCGGACUGCAGGCUGCAACUCGCCUGCACGAAGUCGGAAUUGCUAGUAAUCGCAGAUCAGCAUGCUGCGGUGAAUACGUUCCCGGGCCUUGCACACACCGCCCGUCA